GUGGACUCUCAAGCGUGAGGUAAGGGCAUCUGGUGAAUGCCUUGGCAUGUACAGGCGAUGAAGGACGUGGCACGCUGCGAUAAGCGUGGGGGAGCUGUGAGCAAGCUUUGAUCCCGCGAUUUCCGAAUGGGACAACCCACCUUCACCAUUUAAGACUGGUCCAGCUUCUGGCUGGCCCCGUGUUAAAUGGGAGAGGUAUCACUAAGCUGAAUAAAAUAGGCUUUGGUGAAGCGAACCCGGAGAACUGAAACAUCUCAGUACCCGGAGGAAAAGACAUCAACCGAGAUUCCGUUAGUAGUGGCGAGCGAACGCGGACCAGGCCAGCGCCGACUUCUUAAUUAGCAGAAGCUUCUGGAAAGUAGCGCCAUAGCGGGUGACAGCCCCGUAUGCGAAAAUGAAGAUGUCGGACUUGAGUAGGGCGGAGCACGUGAAACUCUGUCUGAACAUGGGGGGACCACCCUCCAAGCCUAAAUACUCGUACAUGACCGAUAGCGAACCAGUACCGUGAGGGAAAGGUGAAAAGCACCCCGAUGAGGGGAGUGAAACAGUACCUGAAACCGGAUGCCUACAAGCAGUUGGAGGGCUCUUGAAGCCUGACAGCGUACCUCUUGCAUAAUGGGUCUGUGACUUAGUGUAUCAUGCAAGCUUAAGCCGUUAGGUGUAGGCGCAGCGAAAGCGAGUCUGAAUAGGGCGACUGAGUAUGAUGCAUUAGACCCGAAACCCGGCGAUCUAGGCAUGACCAGGCUGAAGGUGCGGUAACACGCACUGGAGGGCCGAACCGUUUAAUGUUGAAAAAUUAUCGGAUGAGUUGUGUUUAGGGGUGAAAGGCCAAUCAAGCCGGGAAAUAGCUGGUUCUCCGCGAAAUCUAUUGAGGUAGAGCGUCGGAUGAUUGCCGUUGGGGGUAGAGCACUGGAUGGUUGCGGGGGUCGCGAGAUCUACCAAUACUAACCAAACUCCGAAUACCAACGAGUCUAGUCCGGCAGACAGACGGCGGGUGCUAAGGUCCGUCGUCAAAAGGGAAACAGCCCUAACCUACAGCUAAGGUCCCCAAGUCACGUCUAAGUGGGAAAGCAUGUGGGAUUUCCAAAACAACCAGGAGGUUGGCUUAGAAGCAGCCAUCCUUUAAAGAAAGCGUAACAGCUCACUGGUCUAAACAAGAGAUCCUGCGGCGAAGAUGUAACGGGGCUCAAGACGUGCACCGAAGCUUAGGGUUCAGUCUUUUGACUGAGCGGUAGCGGAGCGUUCCGUAGGCCGUUGAAGCGGGAGGGUAACCGACCGUGGAGGUAUCGGAAGUGCGAAUGCAGACAUGAGUAGCGAUUAAGAGGGUGAGAUGCCCUCUCGCCGAAAUUCCAAGGGUUCCUGCUUAAAGCUAAUCUGAGCAGGGUAAGCCGGCCCCUAAGACGAGCCCGAAGGGGGUAGUCGAUGGGAACCACGUUAAUAUUCGUGGGCCUGGAGGUGUGUGACGGAUGGUGCAACUUGUCUGGCCUUAUUGGAUUGGUCCAGGCAGGGAAACUGUCCCAGGAAAUAGCCCCUCCGUAUAGACCGUACCCUAAACCGACACAGGUGGAAUGGUAGAGUAUACCAAGGCGUUUGAGAGAAGUAUCCUGAAGGAACUCGGCAAAUUGCCUCCGUACCUUCGGAAGAAGGAGGCCCCAUCUAAGCGCAAGCUCUGAUGGGGGGCACAGGCCAGGGGGUAGCGACUGUUUAGCAAAAACACAGGGCUCUGCUAAGUCGGCUUCAAGACGACGUAUAGGGCCUGACGCCUGCCCGGUGCCUGAAGGUUAAGAGGAGGAGUGCAAGCUCUGAAUUGAAGCCCAGGUAAACGGCGGCCGUAACUAUAACGGUCCUAAGGUAGCGAAAUUCCUUGUCGGGUAAGUUCCGACCUGCACGAAUGGCGUAACGACUUCCCCACUGUCUCCAGGAUAUGCUCAGCGAAAUUGAAUUCUCCGUGAAGAUGCGGAGUACCCGCGGUUAGACGGAAAGACCCCGUGCACCUUUACUGCAGCUUCAGAGUGGCAUUAGGAAAGAACUGUGUAGCAUAGGUGGGAGGCUUUGAAGC
RNAcentral lists this ribosomal RNA (2059 nucleotides) under Sphingobium indicum IP26. Its description in RNAcentral is "bacterial LSU rRNA". It matches the Rfam family "Bacterial large subunit ribosomal RNA", at positions 1 to 2163 of the family's 2925-position model. Lineage: Bacteria; Pseudomonadati; Pseudomonadota; Alphaproteobacteria; Sphingomonadales; Sphingobiaceae. The record is from RNAcentral.